Molecule: ribosomal RNA, 1491 nt
Filed under: Prevotella sp. canine oral taxon 195
Lineage: Bacteria; Pseudomonadati; Bacteroidota; Bacteroidia; Bacteroidales; Prevotellaceae
Description: bacterial SSU rRNA
Rfam family: Bacterial small subunit ribosomal RNA
Source: RNAcentral
GAGUUUGAUCCUGGCUCAGGAUGAACGCUAGCUACAGGCUUAACACAUGCAAGUCGAGGGGCAUCAUGCAGGUUGCUUGCGAUCUGUGAUGGCGACCGGCGCACGGGUGAGUAACGCGUAUCCAACCUACCUUCGGCAGGGGCAUAACCCGGUGAAAGCCGGCCUAAUUCCCCAUGGUCCCCGUUGAUGUCAUCUGAUUCGGGGUAAAGGUGUUUUUUCCGGCCGUUGAUGGGGAUGCGUCCGAUUAGUUAGUUGGCGGGGUAAAGGCCCACCAAGACAGUGAUCGGUAGGGGUUCUGAGAGGAAGAUCCCCCACAUUGGGACUGAGACACGGCCCAAACUCCUACGGGAGGCAGCAGUGAGGAAUAUUGGUCAAUGGGCGUAAGCCUGAACCAGCCAAGUAGCGUGGAGGACGACCGCCCUAUGGGUUGUAAACUCCUUUUAUGCGGGAAUAAAUUUCGGGACGCGUUCCCGUUUUGCAUGUACCGCAUGAAUAAGGACCGGCUAAUUCCGUGCCAGCAGCCGCGGUAAUACGGAAGGUUCCGGUGUUAUCCGGAUUUAUUGGGUUUAAAGGGAGCGCGGACUGCUUGUCAAGCGUGCAGUGAAACGCCGCGGCUCAACCGCGGUCCUGCUGCGCGAACUGGCUUGCUUGAGUGGGCUGUAGGUACGCGGAAUUCGUGGUGUAGCGGUGAAAUGCUUAGAUAUCACGAGGAACUCCGAUUGCGAAGGCAGCGUACCAUAUCCCGACUGACGUUUAUGCUCGAAGGUGCGGGUAUCAAACAGGAUUAGAUACCCUGGUAGUCCGCACUGUAAACGAUGGAUGCUCGCUGUCGGCGACAUAUUGCCGGUGGCCCAGCGAAAGCGUUAAGCAUCCCACCUGGGGAGUACGCCGGCAACGGUGAAACUCAAAGGAAUUGACGGGGGCCCGCACAAGCGGAGGAACAUGUGGUUUAAUUCGAUGAUACGCGAGGAACCUUACCCGGGCUUGAAUUGCAGGAGAACGAUACAGAGAUGUUGAGGCCUUUCGGGGCUCCUGUGAAGGUGCUGCAUGGUUGUCGUCAGCUCGUGCCGUGAGGUGUCGGCUUAAGUGCCAUAACGAGCGCAACCCCUUUGCGUAGUUGCCAUCGGGUGAUGCCGGGCACUCUUCGCAUACUGCCACCGCAAGGUGUGAGGAAGGUGGGGAUGACGUCAAAUCAGCACGGCCCUUACGUCCGGGGCUACACACGUGUUACAAUGGUGGGUACAGAGUGUUGUUCGUGCGCAAGCACGUUCCAAUCACAAAAUCCCUCCUCAGUUCGGACUGGGGUCUGCAACCCGACCCCACGAAGCUGGAUUCGCUAGUAAUCGCGCAUCAGCCAUGGCGCGGUGAAUACGUUCCCGGGCCUUGUACACACCGCCCGUCAAGCCAUGAAAGCCGGGGGCGCCUGAAGUCCGUGACCGCGAGGGUCGGCCUAGGGCGAAACCGGUGAUUGGGGCUAAGUCGUAACAAGGU